AUACGGAGGAUGCGAGCGUUAUCCGGAUUUAUUGGGUUUAAAGGGUGCGUAGGUGGUAGAUUAAGUCAGCGGUGAAAGUUUGUCGCUCAACGAUAAAAUUGCCGUUGAUACUGGUUUACUUGAGUAUAGUUGAAGUAGGCGGAAUGCGUGGUGUAGCGGUGAAAUGCAUAGAUAUCACGCAGAACUCCGAUUGCGAAGGCAGCUUACUAAGUUAUAACUGACACUGAAGCACGAAAGCGUGGGUAUCAAACAGGAUUAGAUACCCUGGUAGUCCGCACAGUAAACGAUGAAUACUCGCUGUUUGCGAUACACGGUAAGCGGCCAAGCGAAAGCGUUAAGUAUUCCACCUGGGGAGUACGCCGGCAACGGUGAAACUCAAAGGAAUUGGCGGGG
RNAcentral lists this ribosomal RNA (393 nucleotides) under uncultured bacterium. RNAcentral's name for it is "partial 16S ribosomal RNA". It matches the Rfam family "Bacterial small subunit ribosomal RNA", at positions 523 to 918 of the family's 1533-position model. The record is from RNAcentral.